Molecule: small RNA, 29 nt
Filed under: Bombyx mori (domestic silkworm)
Lineage: Eukaryota; Metazoa; Arthropoda; Insecta; Lepidoptera; Bombycidae
Description: ovarian small RNA-5505
Source: RNAcentral
GUGGAUUAAAAGUGCCUGUUUUACCAGAG